AACGAGUUGCGAGUCGGUGACGGCGAGCUAAUCUCUUAAAGACCAAUCUCCAGUUCGGAUUGUAGGCUGCAACUCGCCUACAUGAAGUCGGGAUCGCUAGUAAUCGCGGAUCAGCACGCCGCGGUGAAUACGUUCCCGGGCCUU
This 144-nucleotide ribosomal RNA is filed under the name uncultured Streptococcus sp. Its description in RNAcentral is "partial 16S ribosomal RNA". It matches the Rfam family "Bacterial small subunit ribosomal RNA", at positions 1241 to 1382 of the family's 1533-position model. The record is from RNAcentral. Lineage: Bacteria; Bacillati; Bacillota; Bacilli; Lactobacillales; Streptococcaceae.